RNAcentral lists this ribosomal RNA (595 nucleotides) under uncultured Bacteroidota bacterium. Its description in RNAcentral is "bacterial SSU rRNA". It matches the Rfam family "Bacterial small subunit ribosomal RNA", at positions 122 to 715 of the family's 1533-position model. The record is from RNAcentral. Lineage: Bacteria; Pseudomonadati; Bacteroidota.
CAACCUACCUAUCAGAGGGGAAUAACCCGGCGAAAGUCGGACUAAUACCGCAUAAAACAGGGGCACCGCAUGGUGAUAUUUGUUAAAGAAAUUCGCUGAUAGAUGGGCAUGCGUUCCAUUAGGUAGUUGGUGAGGUAACGGCUCACCAAACCGACGAUGGAUAGGGGAACUGAGAGGUUGGUCCCCCACACUGGUACUGAGACACGGACCAGACUCCUACGGGAGGCAGCAGUGAGGAAUAUUGGUCAAUGGGCGGGAGCCUGAACCAGCCAAGUCGCGUGAAGGAAGAAGGAUCUAUGGUUCGUAAACUUCUUUUGCAGGGGAAUAAAGUGCAGGACGUGUCCUGUUUUGUAUGUACCCUGAGAAUAAGGAUCGGCUAACUCCGUGCCAGCAGCCGCGGUAAUACGGAGGAUCCGAGCGUUAUCCGGAUUUAUUGGGUUUAAAGGGUGCGUAGGUGGUUUGAUAAGUCAGCGGUGAAAGUUUGCAGCUUAACUGUAAAAAUGCCGUUGAAACUGUCGGACCUGAGUGUAAAUGAGGUAGGCGGAAUGCGUGGUGUAGCGGUGAAAUGCAUAGAUAUCACGAAGAACUCCGAUUG